Molecule: ribosomal RNA, 288 nt
Filed under: uncultured bacterium
Lineage: Bacteria
Description: partial 16S ribosomal RNA
Rfam family: Bacterial small subunit ribosomal RNA
Source: RNAcentral
GUGUAUUAGAUACCCUGGUAGUCCACACGGUAAACGAUGAAUGCUAGGUGUAGGAGGUAUCGACCCCUUCUGUGCCGCAGUUAACACAAUAAGCAUUCCGCCUGGGGAGUACGGUCGCAAGAUUAAAACUCAAAGGAAUUGACGGGGGCCCGCACAAGCAGCGGAGCAUGUGGUUUAAUUCGACGCAACGCGAAGAACCUUACCAGGUCUUGACAUCCAGUUAAAGCUGUUGAAAGAUAGUGUCCCUUCGGGGGAACUGAGACAGGUGGUGCACGGCCGUCGACAGCU